CUAGUACGAAAAACUUUCGAGUUCGUUUCGUUUGCGUAUUCAAAGUGCCAUCGAAAAAUUUUGUAUGAAAAAUUAAACAGCGCCCCCUAUAGGUCAUAAAAAGAAAAAAACACCUAACUUUCGAUUUUCUUUCGUAUCGAGUUCAAAUACUAGGCGUGACGAAAGAUGGAUUUUGUAUGAAAUAACGUAGUACGAACCUAAUUUUGACAAUCAACGGUCGUUUCGUUGUCGUUGAAAUCAUCGAAUGUUGUGUCACUGUCAAUUUUGUUGUGAGAAGAUUACGUUGAUAUAAAUUUUACGUGUUUUUGAGGCUUAAAUGUGGAGAUUAUGUGGUCGGCGAAUUUAUUUCCUUGUUUGGCAUCAUUUAGAUUGUUUAGAUGCUUUAAGUUAAGAGAUUAGGAAGCAUCCCAACAGCAGGUAUUUGACCACAAUCGCACAUGAUGUUAAGAGGGAUGCAGUCUAGGAUGGUACAUAUCUGCCCUGUAAGAUACCUACUUAUGUGACAAAUUGCCGGAAAGAUAGUCUUAUGGCAACAAAAAGAGUGUCCUUGGAACACAAGGUUAUAUUAUGUGCUAUGCAUUAAGAUGCAUCCAGUUCAUACCAAGGCACUGAUGGUAUGAAGAAGCAUUUGGAAUUACUUAACCAAUGCUCUCAAUACCCCCAACAUACUCGGAGAAGUAGGUAGGUACUCAUGCCUACAUAAGAUUUAUCCAUGAACUAUUUUAUACAAAUGUCAUAUGCAUUCAGUUCUUAAGAUCAUACAGAACAAAACACAACAGGGUGAUUCCAUACCUUUGCUCGUAAGUGUUUUAGCCAGAAAGUUUUAGAUCUUAAUAAACUUAUUUACCUAAACUAAUAACUAUAAAAUUAAUGUUAUAGUAUUCUACUCAUCAACAUUUAUUAAUCAUUACAGGUACCUACCCUACCCAAACCUUACAAAGAUCCAGCUCCGGCACAGAAUAAGUAAUAGGACUAAGGUUCCUAGGCACACUUAAGAAAUACCAUCAACACUUGCGGGCAAAUAGACAUUAAUGGGAUUAAAACAAAAUAUAUGUGUGACAAUUUAUUUAAUAAAUACUUAUAAAACAUUAAACAAUAUUUUGAAUUUCAAUUAAAACAUAGGUACCUAACAGUUUUAAUUUUCUAUUAAUAGGUAUGAUACAUGAUUGGUAAUAAUCAAAAUUGUUAUUCAAAUUGCUGAGAGUUUCAAUGGCUGGCUGCUCAUGGUUUCAUAUAUUAUCAUCUGGCUACUCGGGUUUCCUCUGUAAAAGAAAAAGUAAUGUUAACUAAAUACUAAUUUAACUUGC
This is a long non-coding RNA of Ostrinia nubilalis (European corn borer), 1307 nucleotides long. RefSeq lists it as uncharacterized. The transcript is spliced from 3 exons. The record is from RefSeq and is a predicted model, not a curated record. NCBI's taxonomy places the organism in Eukaryota, Metazoa, Arthropoda, Insecta, Lepidoptera, Crambidae.